GGGGGAGCGCAGCAGCCCAGGGACACACACAACGGGCCAGGUGCGCUGAGACAGCGUUGGCUGUCUGGCCCUCUCGGACCGGGGACCAGCACCUUCUGACUGCACGCGAGGACAUAAUUGUUAUUUUCAAUGAUAAUGAUGACUAUGGUGCUUGAUGGCCUCCAAGUGUUUUCACAUCCAUUGUCUUAGAUCCUGAUGCCACCACUGUGAGAAGCUACAGAUAAUAGGCCUUGUAUGAGGUAGAAAGCCUUGAACCCCACCUUGGCUCUCCAUGGAGCCCCACAGGAAAGCAGUCUCCAAGGGCAGCCUGGAAAGGAA
Molecule: long non-coding RNA, 318 nt
Organism: Dromiciops gliroides (monito del monte)
Lineage: Eukaryota; Metazoa; Chordata; Mammalia; Microbiotheria; Microbiotheriidae
Exons: 3
Source: RefSeq, a predicted model, not a curated record